AUUGAACGCUGGCGGCAUGCCUUACACAUGCAAGUCGAACGGCAGCACGGGAGCUUGCUCCUGGUGGCGAGUGGCGAACGGGUGAGUAAUACAUCGGAACGUACCCUGAAGUGGGGGAUAACGUAGCGAAAGUUACGCUAAUACCGCAUAUUCUGUGAGCGGGAAAGAGGGGGAUCGCAAGACCUCUUGCUUUAGGAGCGGCCGAUGUCGGAUUAGCUAGUUGGUGAGGUAAAGGCUCACCAAGGCGACGAUCUGUAGCGGGUCUGAGAGGAUGAUCCGCCACACUGGAACUGAGACACGGUCCAGACUCCUACGGGAGGCAGCAGUGGGGAAUUUUGGACAAUGGGGGCAACCCUGAUCCAGCCAUGCCGCGUGAGUGAAGAAGGCCU
RNAcentral lists this ribosomal RNA (389 nucleotides) under uncultured bacterium. RNAcentral's name for it is "bacterial SSU rRNA". It matches the Rfam family "Bacterial small subunit ribosomal RNA", at positions 30 to 417 of the family's 1533-position model. The record is from RNAcentral.